Molecule: long non-coding RNA, 1426 nt
Organism: Cyprinus carpio carpio
Lineage: Eukaryota; Metazoa; Chordata; Actinopteri; Cypriniformes; Cyprinidae
Source: Ensembl
CUCGAAAGCCUGCACCAUCUGGACUGGCUUGUGUUUUACUAGACUGUUGUGAUGUUGUGUGAUAACUAAAAGAACUAUAUGUAUAAUCAUUUUAAAAUAUAGUAUUUUUGAGAGUAUAAAUGUGUUGCUCCUGUCAGUUGGUUUACUUUGCCUGACUCUGUUUUAUAUUGUGUUGUUGUGUGCUGGUUUGUAAUGCUUCUGUGGGGUAGGUCUGACUGGAUUCGACUGGCUCAUACUGAACAAAAGCAGAUGAGGAACUACUGCGAUGCUGCUGAGGCUGGAGCUAUCUAGUUCAGACCGGUAGCUGGGUGCUGCUUUCAACACUGAAGGGCUCUUUGAGGCUGGGGGGGGGGGGUUAUUGUCAUCUGUGUGAUUAAUUGAGGGAAGACAGCCUUCAGAGGUUUCAGAGUUACUACUGUAAAAGGUGUGAAGCCGAACCCCUUCCUCCCCCGUCCCGCGUGGCUCUGUGCACGUAACACCUGCCUGCCGCUUCACAGCGGUACAAGAUGUUCUCUCAACAAGAUGUUCUGCAAAAGAGGAACAACCACUUUCACUUUCUGUUGCUGCUGAAAAAAAGUGAUAGAUGUUUGGAAUAACAUGAGGGUAAGUAAAUGAUGACAGUUUUUUCAUUUUUGGGCAGACUAUCCUUUUUAAAGUUUAUCACGUUCUAUCAACUUGCAUUUAUAUUUUGUGCUGAUUUCUCUUGAAGUAAGGAUUGCUUACUUUUUUUCUUUUUUUACAUAUUACUGAAACUGGUAUUCUGAGCAAUCACAAUGACCUCUGUUACAUCACUUUAAAAAAAUGGAUUUGCUGACGUGUCUGUGUAAAGUGUGGGCAUUUGGUUGCUUUUGCAAGAUGGUUUAAAUCCCUUACGGCAGCUUUAACACCUGCUGCAUUUCAAUCAUGCAGAGCCAUUUUCAAGAAAACAUAAACAUCUCCAGAAGGUUGUUGCAUCAGAUCGCAGGACAAAUGUGCAGUUAAAGGACAACAACGGGGUUGAGAAUUACAUCUGUGCUACUGUCUGACGCACACAGAGGUACAUAAAAUCAGAGAUUGCCAAAGAAGAUUAUCACCCACUCUGACAUCCAAUCCACAACCACCAGCUACCCUCACGGCCUCAUGGUUCAAUGCUUAACACUCUUGAUUGCACCAAAUCAAGUAGCAGGUAGCAGCCCUCAAUCAUCAGUAUAAAAUAACAGUGUGAUGUGUCUUUAAUUGGAACUUUCCCUACACAAUGUUGUGAUGAUUGUUGAGCUCAGACAAAACCACAUUAAACGCAACUUGGUGCAUUAGUAUGGAAUCUCUAAAGGAAAAGAAAAAUUUGCUGAAGAUUGUCAGUCUAAGGCAGGUGUCUCCAACCCUGGUCCUAGAGAGCUACUGUCCUGCAGAUUUCAGCUCCAACCCCAAUCAAACACACCUGAACCAG